CCUACGGGUGGCAGCAGUGGGGAAUAUUGCACAAUGGGGGAAACCCUGAUGCAGCAACGCCGCGUGAGUGAAGAAGUCACUCGUGGUGUAAAGCUCUAUCAGUAGGGGAGAAAAUGACGGUACCUGACUAAGAAGCCCCGGCUAACUUCGUGCCAGCAGCCGCGGCUACACGGCGGGGGCAAGCGUUAUCCGGAUUGACUGGGUGUAAAGGGAGCGUAGACGGAGGCGGAAGUCAGUAGUGAAAGGCUUGUGCUCAACCGUGGAACUGCUGUGGAAACUGUGUAGCUUGAGUGCAGGAGAGGUAGGUGGAAUUCCUGGUGUAGCGGUGAAAUGCUUAGAUAUUACGAAGAACACCAGUGGCGAAGGCAGCUUACUGGACUGUAACUGACGUUGAGGCUCGAAAGUGUGGGUAGCAAACAGGAUUAGAUACCCGUGUAGUC
Molecule: ribosomal RNA, 440 nt
Filed under: uncultured bacterium
Lineage: Bacteria
Description: partial 16S ribosomal RNA
Rfam family: Bacterial small subunit ribosomal RNA
Source: RNAcentral